GAAAGAACGUAGCGAAAUGCGAUAAGUAAUGUGAAUUGCAGAAUUCAGUGAAUCAUCGAAUCUUUGAACGCACAUUGCGCCCGUCAGUAUUCUGGCGGGCAUGCCUGUUCGAGCGUCAUUACGCCCCUCAAGUCCCCUGUGGACUUGGUGUUGGGGAUCGGCGAGGCUGGUUUUCCAGCACAGCCGUCCCUUAAAUUAAUUGGCGGUCUCGCCGUGGCCCUCCUCUGCGCAGUAGUAAAACACUCGCAACAGGAGCCCGGCGCGGUCCACUGCCGUAAAACCCCCCAACUUUUUAUAGUUGACCUCGAAUCAGGUAGGACUACCCGCUGAACUUAAGCAUAUCAAUAAGCGGAGGA
Molecule: unclassified non-coding RNA, 356 nt
Filed under: soil metagenome
Description: partial contains 5.8S ribosomal RNA, internal transcribed spacer 2, and large subunit ribosomal RNA
Rfam family: 5.8S ribosomal RNA (bases 3-118)
Source: RNAcentral